Gasterosteus aculeatus aculeatus (three-spined stickleback) is the source of this 555-nucleotide long non-coding RNA. The record is from Ensembl. Lineage: Eukaryota; Metazoa; Chordata; Actinopteri; Perciformes; Gasterosteidae.
GAUGAGGAUGAGGAUGGAUGCGUAACAGCAGCAUGAACGCACUAAAACCUAAAGAGACAGCUCUGAGAUCGUAUGAUUUAAUUCAUUUGUUGUGGUUAUUGGAUUUAAUCCUCACUUAAAGACUAGUUCGUUUGUUCCCUCAGAAAUCCUACUAAUAAAAUGCACAUCACAGAAUUAUUGGCGACAUCUCACCUGGUUGAAACUACUUCCAGACACGUUUCCUUCCUGUUCGUAUGUGCAGGUCUAUUCGAUGAGGCGGGGGGAAGAGGGUCCGUGAGUAUCGGUGUAAUGGUCAUGGCAGCUGAGGUUUUCUUCCACAGUCCCACGUCCUCCUGGAAGCAGCAGGUCCGAACCGUCGACGUGCGGAACAGCAGAUCAACCUGCUGAUGGAUGGACGACCCAGAGACACAGAUGGUCCCUGUAAAGUUAAACAAACAUGCGUUUCACACACACCACUCAACUACCAUUUACCAACAAAUUGGAGUUAUCUGCUGGAUUGAUUUUAAUGUAUAACAUUUUUCAUAUUUCAGUCUAGACUAAAGGAGCAGGUCAGCA